Molecule: long non-coding RNA, 1847 nt
Filed under: Homo sapiens (human)
Lineage: Eukaryota; Metazoa; Chordata; Mammalia; Primates; Hominidae
Description: long non-coding RNA NONHSAT241442
Source: RNAcentral
GGAAUGAAGUGCAGGCUAUUUCUGGAGUAGUGGAGUAAGGGCUUGGGGUGGAAAGUGGAGGAGGGCAGUCACUGCUGUUUACUUUGCAUCCACUUUGGAAUGAUGAGAAACUCAGUUUCUUAGAAGAAAUAGUAAUGAAGAGAUGGCCUUGUGUCAGGAAAGGAUCGGGAACCUUGAAUCAGGCUGACCUUGGGUUUAAAUCCCAGUUCUGCCACUUACUGUGUGACCUUGGGCAUGUCAUCUAACUUUUAAGUCUCCAUUUCUUUGUAGUAUGAAUAUAAUACCUACAGUGCAGGGUUGCGAAGAUUUAAACCAAAUGUAGUGAAAGUACGUAGGACAUAGAGGGCACUUUGCAUGGUCACACCUUCUCCACUUGCUGUCCAAGCCCUGUGCCCUAGGUGGGAAGAGACAGGCAAGAAACGUAAAACCCUCUCCUCCAGGAGGUGGAGCUGCCAUCGAGAUAUUUUAGAAGUGAAGAUGCCAGAACAGGGUCUAGAUAGCUCAUGGCCCUCACCUUCACCCCAGUGCACACACAAACAUCACCAUUCACCCUCCUAUUACAUUAUCACUCCUCUGGGGAUUUAUUCUUUGGUUAAACACUUCACAGUCAGAGCACAGAAUCCCUGAGAAAGGAAGCACAUUAAGCAUUAGAAGUAUGUGAACUGAGUGGGAUUAUUAAAUUAUUUCAAGAGAAGCUUUGAAAAGAAGGGGAAAGCAAGCACAGUGGGUGUCAGGUGGCUGGAAAGGGGAGAAGCAGGGUACAGAAAAUAAGAGAACUUGAUUGGAACUGGACCCAAAGAGCAGAUAUAUGGACCUAACAGCUGUACGAAGGGGCAGUUGUCAUUACAGGUACCUUCUCUUGGUUUCAAGCUGUUUGGCUGAGGGUGAGUAUCCCCCUGUCACCCUAGCCAAAGUACAUACCCAGUGGCUUCUGGGGCAGUCCAGUGCUGCUGAGGGCCAGUGAAGGAGACUGAUCAUCUGGACACAAAGACCUUUCUACUUCCUUCUCAGCUGAAUUAGUUACCCAAGAUAGGUGACCAACAAAGGCAGACAGGGAUCUCCUCUCCUGGGCUCCCCUUGAUUUGUCCUCUAAGAUUAAGGCUUACCUGUGACUGUUGUUCGAAUCCCCCAACUGCUGUGAGACUUGGAAACACUGAUGGUUUUCAGAUGGCUAAGAGAGCUCCAUUUCUUGCCACCUGAGAUUCUGACCAAGCCUUUCACAACCCUUCUUGGCCUUUUAGAGUUCCCCCUGUAGCAGAGUUUGCCCGCUCAUUAAUAUCCGGGGAUCUAUGCCAGCUCAUUUGGCUUGCCCCUUCACCAGCGUUGGAUCAGUGAAAGUUGCAAGCAGUCAUAUGUUGCUCUCGGCAAAUGUUUUACAGGUGAAAACACAAGAAGGGUCAAUAGCAGGUGGUGGUUUUCUAAAACCCAUCUGUGUCAUAAUUAUAAUAGACUGAGAUACAUGGAAUGCCAGGGACUGCCACAGGCAAAGCUAACAGAAUUUUGAAAAGAUAUUUAAGUUUCAGUUAGUAAACUGGGGACACCAAAGCCUACUCAGAAUAGUUAUGGGACUAAAAUAUGGAGGAAAAGCACCUAACAAGGUGCCUGAUAAUAUAUGAUGCAGAUUUAAAGUAGUGGAUUCUAAAACAGACCAAAACUACCACCCAGAACAUAUAAAGUAAAAGCACUAUAACAUGCAAUAGUGUUACAAUACUAUUACAAUAGCGUGUUAAUAUUACCAAACUAUGGUAAAAUAUACUUUGAUUUUAUCCAUAAUUAAAGCUGAGGAUGUAUUGAUAGUUAACUUAGAAAGAUUAAAGCCCCCAUCAUUAGCAGUCAGAGAAGAGCAG